UUAUUAUACGGCUCAGCUGUAUUGCUCUCACAGCCGUCUUCCAACCUUUACUUGGCAGCUCCAGCUGAGUGGAGGCUGAAUGGCAUGUGUUGACAUUGUUAAAGACACACGUGAGGACCUCACACGUUUCAUGUCUGAGUCAAGCAAGGGGCAUGUUGGAAAAGAUGGGGUGGGGGUGCAGUUUGUCAUAUCAUUGCCUCACCUGCAAUAUCUUGAGGCGGUUGCACAGUGUUGUGCUCCAGUCCAGAGAUGAUGUCUAAGUCGUGCUGGUUAGUGACGGUAAACAAGAGCAGCAGAUGGACGAGACCAAACUUCACACAAACACACACACUGCCAUCUUCUUUUACUUGUCAUGUCUCCCUGGAUAUCAAAUCAGCAUAAAUGUGUAACAAAGAGAGAAGGGAUGUCUCAUUGAUGGGUGCAUGAAAUCACCUUUGCUGUGCUGUGUGUUUGUGAGGGAAAUGGGGGUAGUGGUAGUAACAGCAGCAGCAGCAGUAGAGGUGGCUUGGGGUGAGGUCCUGCCCUGAUUUUCUCUGGAAUUCCUUUGCUUUUGGAAGCCAGAACGAGUGGAAACCAAAUCUGGGUAGCCUGAGGGUCUCUCCUUCUUGAGUAUUCUCCACGCAUAUCCCUCUGCUGCCAUCUCUGACGGCUUUUUAGGGGUAGCUCUGUUUUCAAAGCUCGCAACAGCCAAGGUGUUAUUCACCUUCCAGAGAAAGGAGACGGAGAGAGGCAUGCAAAAAAAAAAAAAAAAAAAAAAAAUCAGAUGACUGCACCAGGAAAACCAUCUCAGGCCUGGAGGGACCGGCGCUGCUCAAACAUAAAUUUUCUCCAUGUUUCAGACACGGAAAUGAAAGUCAAAUGUAGAGCCUGUCACUCAGGGCACAAAAGAUACCUUCCAAUGAAUAUGGAUGAAAAACCGAGGACAGUCAUCAAUGAGCAAAAGGCCUUUGAAUAAAAACUGAAAAAAUCUGAGAUGUGCGCAGCAAAUGAAAGGUCUACGAAACCACAG
This is a long non-coding RNA of Astatotilapia calliptera (eastern happy), 1009 nucleotides long. Lineage: Eukaryota; Metazoa; Chordata; Actinopteri; Cichliformes; Cichlidae. The record is from Ensembl.